AACGAACGCUGGCGGCGUGCUUAACACAUGCAAGUCGAGCGGUAAGGCCCGUUUCGGGGGUACACGAGCGGCGAACGGGUGAGUAACACGUGGGUGACCUGCCCUUAGCUCUGGGAUAAGCCUGGGAAACUGGGUCUAAUACCGGAUAUGACUCCAUGACGCAUGUUGUGGGGUGGAAAGCCUUGUGCGGCUAGGGAUGGGCCCGCGGCCUAUCAGCUUGUUGGUGGGGUGAUGGCCUACCAAGGCGACGACGGUAGCCGGCCUGAGAGGGCGACCGGCCACACUGGGACUGAGACACGGCCCAGACUCCUACGGGAGGCAGCAGUGGGGAAUCUUGCGCAAUGGGCGAAAGCCUGACGCAGCGACGCCGCGUGAGGGAUGACGCC
RNAcentral lists this ribosomal RNA (386 nucleotides) under uncultured bacterium. Its description in RNAcentral is "bacterial SSU rRNA". It matches the Rfam family "Bacterial small subunit ribosomal RNA", at positions 28 to 415 of the family's 1533-position model. The record is from RNAcentral.